AAGUCGUAACAAGGUCUCCGUAGGUGAACCUGCGGAGGGAUCAUUACCGAGUGGAGGGCGCUUCGGCGCCCGACCUCCCAACCCUUUGAUUUGAUCAAGACCUCAUUCUGCCUCGGGGGUGACCCGGCCCUCCUCCGUGUUCGCGCACGGGGGGUGACCCGGUCCUCCCGGUGGCGCACCCUUAACCCUGCAUCAAUUGUCGUCUGAUAUUGAAGCGAAUUCAAUUAAAACUUUCAACAACGGAUCUCUUGGUUCUG
RNAcentral lists this unclassified non-coding RNA (257 nucleotides) under air metagenome. RNAcentral describes it as "partial contains small subunit ribosomal RNA, internal transcribed spacer 1, and 5.8S ribosomal RNA". The stretch from base 1 to 46 matches the Rfam family "Eukaryotic small subunit ribosomal RNA", at positions 1786 to 1831 of the family's 1831-position model. The record is from RNAcentral.